AGGGAAUCUUCCGCAAUGGACGAAAGUCUGACGGAGCAAUGCCGCGUGAGUGAAGAAGGUUUUCGGAUCGUAAAACUCUGUUGUUAGAGAAGAACAAGGAUGAGAGUAACUGCUCAUCCCCUGACGGUAUCUAACCAGAAAGCCACGGCUAACUACGUGCCAGCAGCCGCGGUAAUACGUAGGUGGCAAGCGUUGUCCGGAUUUAUUGGGCGUAAAGCGAGCGCAGGCGGUUCUUUAAGUCUGAUGUGAAAGCCCCCGGCUCAACCGGGGAGGGUCAUUGGAAACUGGAGAACUUGAGUGCAGAAGAGGAGAGUGGAAUUCCACGUGUAGCGGUGAAAUGCGUAGAUAUGUGGAGGAACACCAGUGGCGAAGGCGACUCUCUGGUCUGUAACUGACGCUGAGGCUCGAAAGCGUGGGGAGCAAAC
RNAcentral lists this ribosomal RNA (425 nucleotides) under uncultured bacterium. Its description in RNAcentral is "bacterial SSU rRNA". It matches the Rfam family "Bacterial small subunit ribosomal RNA", at positions 356 to 773 of the family's 1533-position model. The record is from RNAcentral.